RNAcentral lists this transfer RNA (84 nucleotides) under Echinostoma caproni. It matches the Rfam family "tRNA". From Rfam's summary of the family: Transfer RNA (tRNA) molecules are approximately 80 nucleotides in length. The record is from Rfam by way of RNAcentral. Lineage: Eukaryota; Metazoa; Platyhelminthes; Trematoda; Plagiorchiida; Echinostomatidae.
GGCCUCAUAGCUCAGCUGGUAGAGCGUGCGCUUUGACAAAGAAUAGGCGGCGUUCAUGCAUGGGUUCAAAUCCCACCGAGGCUA